CACUUUUCCUUAUUCUCCUUGGUGAGUACACAUAAUCAAAACAUUCUCAACUGCUAACCUCGAGGCCAGGUGGUACAGGCCCUAAGUCAAGGGCACCUGUGUCUGCCAAGACCAUGAGCUUCUCAGUGUUUAAUAGAGGGAAAGCAUUUGCAUCUAAGUGGUCCUGGAAAGUAGAGUCUCUAGGGAGCCUGGGCCCAUGGAAAGUAACUGGGACCACUGAGAGAGGUGUCACCUGGAACUUCAGGGACUACUCGCUCCUUAAAGAAGAGGAAGUUAUGAAAGUUCCUUAAGACAAGGAGAGAGGAAAUGGCAACUUAAAUAGAGCAUGUGAGAAAUGAUCAGCAUUUAUGUCCCUCAGGAAAAGAAUUACAUCUAGUUAUUACAUGCAGAGGACACAGGAAUGCUCUAGAAGACAGGACAGUGAACAAAAGACACAGGACGUGCAGGAUUGUAAGACAAGACAGAAUUUGGAGAAGGUCGAGAGGGAGCCAAAACUGAGUAGGCACAAACCCUGCCCAGCACCAAGCUGGUCAGACAAUGGAAAUGUCCCUGGGCUCAGUCUGGAAUGUACAUCUCAGCUUAUGGAGCUGUUCUGGGAAUGGAGGUGGAAGAGACCUACAGACCUCAGAGUCCCUCAUGGCUAAAAGCAUCCAUUCCAGAUUUAGGGCCAGCCUAGCUGGCCUCGCCCAUCUGGCCCCUUCUGAGGGGGGCACAGUGGAUGUGGCAGGAAGAUGCAGAAGUGGUGGGCACUUCCGUGUGCCAUUGGUCACUGAAUAUCCCUGUCUCCUGUUUCGAGGUCCUGUCUCUUGAAGGAGAUAGAAACAGAAUACGUAGGAUAUUUUAUGUUUUUAACUGGAGACAAAUAAUUCAAAGACUGGCUUUUGCCCCUGGGGAUGAUGCCAGGAUGC
Octodon degus (degu) is the source of this 908-nucleotide long non-coding RNA. RefSeq lists it as uncharacterized. The record is from RefSeq and is a predicted model, not a curated record. The transcript is spliced from 3 exons. Lineage: Eukaryota; Metazoa; Chordata; Mammalia; Rodentia; Octodontidae.